CCUACGGGUGGCUGCAGUGAGGAAUAUUGGUCAAUGGCCGGAAGGCUGAACCAGCCAAGUCGCGUGAGGGACGAAUGCCCUAUGGGUUGUAAACCUCUUUUAUAAGGGAGGAAUAAAUGCUACGUAUAGCAUGAUGCCUGUACCUUAUGAAUAAGCAUCGGCCAACUCCGUGCCAGCAGCCGCGGUAAUACGGGGGAGGCGAGCGUUAUCCGGAUUUGUAGGGUUAAAGGGGUGCGUAGGCGGAUUUUUAAGUUAGUGGUAAAACGUCGGGGCUACACCUGGAUUUGCCAUUAAUACUGGAAGACUCGAGUUUAGACGAGGUAAGCGGAAUUAGUUAAGUAGCGGUGAAAUGCUUAGAUAU
Molecule: ribosomal RNA, 361 nt
Filed under: uncultured bacterium
Lineage: Bacteria
Description: partial 16S ribosomal RNA
Rfam family: Bacterial small subunit ribosomal RNA
Source: RNAcentral